Molecule: RNase P RNA, 342 nt
Filed under: Agrococcus sp. SGAir0287
Lineage: Bacteria; Bacillati; Actinomycetota; Actinomycetes; Micrococcales; Microbacteriaceae
Description: Bacterial RNase P class A
Rfam family: Bacterial RNase P class A
About the family: Ribonuclease P (RNase P) is a ubiquitous endoribonuclease, found in archaea, bacteria and eukarya as well as chloroplasts and mitochondria.
Source: Rfam by way of RNAcentral
CUGGUCGGCCAGGCGGCCGCGUCACCUUCGGGUGCCGAGGAACGUCCGGGCUCCGCAGAGCAAGGUGGUGGAUAACGUCCACCCGGGGUGACCCGCGAGCAAGCGCAACAGAGAGCAGGUCCGCCGACCUCGGUCGGUCAGGAGUGAAACGGUGGUGCAAGAGACCACCAGCGUCGUGUGCGAGCACGGCGGCUAGGCAAGCCUCACCUGGAGCAAGACCAGACAGAAGGCCAUGGGGCUGCUCGUCCCGCCUUCGGGUAGGUCGCUGGAGGCGUACGGCAACGUCCGCCCGAGAGAGAUGGCCGUCCACGACAGAACCCGGCGUAUCGGCCGGCCAGUCCC